RNAcentral lists this ribosomal RNA (631 nucleotides) under uncultured Bacilli bacterium. RNAcentral describes it as "bacterial SSU rRNA". It matches the Rfam family "Bacterial small subunit ribosomal RNA", at positions 88 to 707 of the family's 1533-position model. The record is from RNAcentral. Lineage: Bacteria; Bacillati; Bacillota; Bacilli.
UGGAUGAGUUGCGAACGGGUGAGUAACGCGUAGGUAACCUGCCUUGUAGCGGGGGAUAACUAUUGGAAACGAUAGCUAAUACCGCAUAACAAUGGAUGACCCAUGUCAUUUAUUUGAAAGGGGCAAAUGCUCCACUACAAGAUGGACCUGCGUUGUAUUAGCUAGUAAGUGAGGUAACGGCUCACCUAGGCGACGAUACAUAGCCGACCUGAGAGGGUGAUCGGCCACACUGGGACUGAGACACGGCCCAGACUCCUACGGGAGGCAGCAGUAGGGAAUCUUCGGCAAUGGGGGCAACCCUGACCGAGCAACGCCGCGUGAGUGAAGAAGGUUUUCGGAUCGUAAAGCUCUGUUGUAAGUCAAGAACGAGUGUGAGAGUGGAAAGUUCACACUGUGACGGUAGCUUACCAGAAAGGGACGGCUAACUACGUGCCAGCAGCCGCGGUAAUACGUAGGUCCCGAGCGUUGUCCGGAUUUAUUGGGCGUAAAGCGAGCGCAGGCGGUUUGAUAAGUCUGAAGUUAAAGGCUGUGGCUCAACCAUAGUUCGCUUUGGAAACUGUCAAACUUGAGUGCAGAAGGGGAGAGUGGAAUUCCAUGUGUAGCGGUGAAAUGCGUAGAUAUAUGGAGGAAC